AACAGCUCACUGGUCGAGUGGACAUGCGCCGACAAUACACGGGGCUAAGCUGGACACCGAAGCGGCGGGAUUUUAAUUCAUUAGAAUCGGUAGGGGAGCUUCCCAUGGGCGGAGAAGCCGGAGGGCGACCGACGGUGGAGCGCAUGGGAGUGAGAAUGCUGGCAUGAGUAGCGAGAGACGAGAGAGUAACUCGUCCGCCGUGAACCCGAGGUUUCCUGGGCAAGGCUAAUCCUCCCAGGGUCAGUCGGGGGCUAAGGCGAGGCCGGUAGGCGUAGCCGACGCGCAGCAGGCAGACAUUCCUGCACCGCGCACGCGGCGCUACGACCGACGGGGCGACGGAUGGGGGUGGCUCGGCGGGGUUCUGGACGUCCCCGUGAUGGAGCGCGGCCCGCGGACCAGGGAAAUCCGGUCCGCAGAAGGGCGAGGCUCCGGACGAAGCACUUAAGCGAAGCGAGUGAGCCCGAGGUCCCUAGAAAAACCCCUAGGCAGGCGCGUGCGCGCCCGUACCGCAAACCGACACAGGUGGGUGGGUAGAACAUACCGAGGCGAUCGGGUCAACCAUGGUCAAGGAACUCGGCACAAUGGCCCCGUAACUUCGGGAGAAGGGGUGCCCGCGCGUACGUGAACGGACUUGCUCCGGGAGCGGAGGCGGGCCGCAGUGGAGAGGCCCAAGCGACUGUUUACCAAAAACACAGGACUCUGCAGAAGCCGCAAGGCGACGUAUAGGGUCUGACGCCUGCCCGGUGCCGGAAGGUCACGCGGAGGAGUUAGCCGCAAGGCGAAGCCCCGAAGCCAAGCCCCGGUAAACGGCGGCCGUAACUAUAACGGUCCUAAGGUAGCGAAAUUCCUUGUCGGGUAAGUUCCGACCUGCACGAAAGGCGCAACGACUUGGGCGCUGUCUCGACCAUGGACCCGGUGAAAUUGCACUGGUCGUGAAGAUGCGACUUACCCGCGGAAGGACGGAAAGACCCCGUGAACCUUCACUGCAGCUUGGCAUUGGCCGCUGGUCCCGCGUGUAGAGGAUAGGCAGGAGGCAUCGAUCCGGAGGCGCCAGCCCCCGGGGAGCCGCCCUUGGAAUACUGCCCUCGCGCGACCGGCGUCCUAACCCGAGGCCGUCAACCGGCUCGGGGACCGUGCCAGGCGGGCAGUUUGACUGGGGCGGUCGCCUCCUAAAGGGUAACGGAGGCGCGCGAAGGUCCGCUCGGGACGGUCGGCAACCGUCCUUUUGAAUGCAAGAGUACAAGCGGGCUUGACUGCGAGGCCCACAAGCCGAGCAGGUGCGAAAGCAGGCUCUAGUGAUCCGGCGGCCCCGAGUGGGUGGGCCGUCGCUCAACGGAUAAAAGGUACUCCGGGGAUAACAGGCUGAUCUUGCCCAAGAGUCCACAUCGACGGCAAGGUUUGGCACCUCGAUGUCGGCUCAUCGCAUCCUGGGGCUGGAGCAGGUCCCAAGGGUACGGCUGUUCGCCGUUUAAAGCGGUACGCGAGCUGGGUUCAGAACGUCGUGAGACAGUUCGGUCCCUAUCCUCCGUGGGCGCAGGAGAAUCGAUGGAGGCUGCCCCCAGUACGAGAGGACCGGGGUGGACGCACCUCCGGUGAACCGGUUGUCGACCAACGGCACGGCCGGGUAGCCGCGUGCGGCGCGGAUAACCGCUGAAGGCAUCUAAGCGGGAAGCCGUUCCAGGGAUUAGUUCUCCUUCCGGUAAGGGCCCAGGUAGACUACCUGGUCGAUAGACGGCAGGUGCAAGGACGGCGACGUCCUCAGCCGAGCCGCACUAAUCGCCCGAGCUCUUCCGGAA
Molecule: ribosomal RNA, 1796 nt
Filed under: human gut metagenome
Description: bacterial LSU rRNA
Rfam family: Bacterial large subunit ribosomal RNA
Source: RNAcentral